GACGAACGCUGGCGGCGUGCUUAACACAUGCAAGUCGAACGGAAAGGCCCUGCUUUUGUGGGGUGCUCGAGUGGCGAACGGGUGAGUAACACGUGAGUAACCUGCCCUUGAAUUUGGGAUAACUUCAGGAAACUGGGGCUAAUACCGGAUAGGAGCUCCUGCUGCAUGGUGGGGGUUGGAAAGUUUCGGCGGUUGUGGAUGGACUCGCGGCUUAUCCGCUUGUUGGUGGGGUAGUGGCUUACCAAGGCUUUGACGGGUAGCCGGCCUGAGAGGGUGACCGGCCACAUGGGGACUGAGAUACGGCCCAGACGCCUACGGGAGGCAGCAGUGGGGAAUAUUGCACAAUGGGCGGAAGCCUGAUGCAGCAACGCCGCGUGCGGGAUGACGGCCUUCGGGUUGUAAACCGCUUUCGCCUGUGACGAAGCGUGAGUGACGGUAAUGGGUAAAGAAGCACCGGCUAACUACGUG
RNAcentral lists this ribosomal RNA (468 nucleotides) under uncultured bacterium. RNAcentral's name for it is "partial 16S ribosomal RNA". It matches the Rfam family "Bacterial small subunit ribosomal RNA", at positions 28 to 507 of the family's 1533-position model. The record is from RNAcentral.